CCGCGGGAUUAGAGUUUGAUCCUGGCUCAGGACGAACGCUGGCGGCGUGCUUAACACAUGCAAGUCGAACGAUGAAGACUGGUGCUUGCACUGGUUGGAUUAGUGGCGAACGGGUGAGUAAUUCGUGAGUAACCUGCCUUUGACUCUGGGAUAAGCCUGGGAAACUGGGUCUAAUACCGGAUAUGACAAGGAACCGCAUGGUUUUUUGUGGAAAGGGUUUGUACUGGUUUUAGAUGGGCUCACGGCCUAUCAGCUUGUUGGUGGGGUAAUGGCUCACCAAGGCGACGACGGGUAGCCGGCCUGAGAGGGUGACCGGCCACACUGGGACUGGGACACGGCCCAGACUCCUACGGGAGGCAGCAGUGGGGAAUAUUGCACAAUGGGCGCAAGCCUGAUGCAGCGACGCCGCGUGAGGGAUGACGGCCUUCGGGUUGUAAACCUCUUUCAGCAGGGAAGAAGCGAAAGUGACGGUACCUGCAGAAGAAGCGCCGGCUAACUACGUGCCAGCAGCCGCGGUAAUACGUAGGGCGCGAGCGUUGUCCGGAAUUAUUGGGCGUAAAGAGCUUGUAGGCGGUUUGUUGCGUCUGCUGUGAAAGACCGGGGCUUAACCCCGGUAUUGCAGUGGGUACGGGCAGACUAGAGUGCAGUAGGGGAGACUGGAAUUCCUGGUGUAGCGGUGAAAUGCGCAGAUAUCAGGAGGAACACCGAUGGCGAAGGCAGGUCUCUGGGCUGUAACUGACGCUGAGAAGCGAAAGCAUGGGGAGCGAACAGGAUUAGAUACCCUGGUAGUCCAUGCCGUANACGUUGGGCACUAGGUGUGGGGGACAUUCCACGUUUUCCGCGCCGUAGCUAACGCAUUAAGUGCCCCGCCUGGGGAGUACGGC
This 884-nucleotide ribosomal RNA is filed under the name uncultured Actinomycetes bacterium. Its description in RNAcentral is "bacterial SSU rRNA". It matches the Rfam family "Bacterial small subunit ribosomal RNA", at positions 1 to 886 of the family's 1533-position model. The record is from RNAcentral. Lineage: Bacteria; Bacillati; Actinomycetota; Actinomycetes.